AACCAUAGAAACCUGCGGAGUACCUGCGGAAGGAUCAUUACAGAGUUGCAAAACUCCCACAAACCAUCGCGAAUCUUACCCGUACGGUUGCCUCGGCGCUGGCGGUCCGGAAGGCCCUCGGGCCCCCGGACCCUCGGGUCCCCCGCUCGCGGGGGGCUGCCCGCCGGAGUGCCGAAACCAAACUCUUGAUAUUUUAUGUCUCUCUGAGUAAACUUUUAAAUAAGUCAGAACUUUCAACAA
RNAcentral lists this unclassified non-coding RNA (240 nucleotides) under soil metagenome. RNAcentral's name for it is "partial contains 5.8S ribosomal RNA, internal transcribed spacer 2, and large subunit ribosomal RNA". The record is from RNAcentral.